Pangasianodon hypophthalmus (striped catfish) is the source of this 2683-nucleotide long non-coding RNA. RefSeq lists it as uncharacterized. Lineage: Eukaryota; Metazoa; Chordata; Actinopteri; Siluriformes; Pangasiidae. The transcript has 6 exons. The record is from RefSeq and is a predicted model, not a curated record.
CAGACACAGAGCUGGCUGAUACACUAAAUAACAUAUUCACAGCCGGGUUUUCAUGUGUGUGGCAUGCACCUUCUCUUUUUAAACCCACUUGCUUUAUUUACUCUGUAAUCCUUAACUGUAAUGCAUAUUUGGAUGGCACAGUGGAGCUGAAAUGUGCCAGGUGCACUAUACUUAUUAUGUAAUCUAAUUAAGCACAUUCUUCAUACUGCUAUCAGAUGGAGCCCUGGGGAGCAACUAAGGCACAAAGACUGUGACACGGCCACCAGAUUGGCCAUGGUGUUCAGCUGUUAGCUGAUUACAUUGAUCUCAUUGAUUUGUUACAGCUUUCCAGUCAUUCCAUACCCAAAGGUUUUUGUGUUUCUAUGAGCUGUAAUAUUUCUUCAGAGGUGCUUUUACUUAAAAGGCAAAGAGGAGGAGUGGGGGGUGAGGCAGACUUGUGCACGACCCAUCUGCAUGCUCUUGCUCUUCAAAUGCUCUGCCGAAGGUAGACAAAACGCAUGAGUGUAUGUUAAAGGCGAUUUGAGCUUCAUUGUAUACAGCCACUGUGGAGACGCUCCUGAUUAAAAACCACAAACUCUGUCGGUGGGUGGAGCAGGCCAUCACAGAGCAAGAUCAGGUGCCAUGAGCAGAACAAGCAUGGCUAAUUGAACUGUCAUGCACACACACAUAUAUAAAACAAGGGAAAAUUCCUGAACUGUCUGUGGUUUUCUUGACAUAGGACAGUGCCCUGAUUAGAUAUUGGAGCAGUAAUCUUAUGCAUUGGUGUUCUAUCGCCUGCCCCCAAUACAUAUACACAGCUACACAAAGGACAUGACACACACAUGUUCACUGGGGCUGUGAUGUGAUUUCUGUUCUGCCAAUUAAAUUUGGCAAGCACAGAUGAAAACUCUGGCCAUAUUUUAGGAAGCUGUCUUAUUAGACUUGGUUUCAGACAUUGGCGAUAUCUCAUGAGCACUGUAAAAUGUCACUCAAGAAUAGGGAGGAACAUUUUGAUUGCACCCAGAUCUGAUAUAGGCAUGUUCUUCCCAUGGAUAUUCUCUUUGUUCGCCCUUUGCUGAAAUUCAGCAUCUUUUCCAUCUGCAUAUAGAUCACACAGCCAUACCACCCACAAUGCUCCAGCACAAACGUCUGAACUGACUGUGAGUUUUCUAAGAGCAACAGAUGCUAGCGACAGCUCUCAGUACCUAAUUAUCCACUCCAGCCUGGCUUUUUAUACAGCAUGUGCACGUGUGUCUGUUCCACUUUUCUGCUUGAAUUUAACUUGUCGACAGGAGGAUUUGCCAGUAAUUGUCCGGUAACACACCCCUUCAGCCUCCACUAUUGUCUUGCCGUCUCUGCACGGUGGCUAUCAUUAAUCAACCCAUUGAGGAGCGAGCUGAACUCGCUAACCUGCACCGCCCAACCCUAGUUACAGAGGAAGUUUUCAAUUUCCCUGGUAAAUCACAAGGACACAAGGGCCUGACAAUAGGGCAUAUAUGUAAAGUAUGAAAAUUAAAAGAAGAUAUAUAAAAGAUAUAGGUUGUCUAAUAGUGGUGGUUGCAGCAGGGAGGUGGUCAUUUUUAUUUCCAACAGAUCCUGAGGUAUACGAAUGAAAGGUGUUGCAGUGAUACUCGAUGGGACAAACAGAGAAUUCCAGAGCUGUAGCUCUGGGUCUCAGCAGGGAUCAGGGUACGACCUAGUGCAACUGGUGACACGGAGAGGUCAGACAGUCACGCAGGGGGCAGCCUGUCACACUGUGCUACAUUUGUGUGUGAAUAGUGGUCCACUGAAUACCACUUCUGCAAUUUGUUCUGUUCAAAUGCUCUUGUUCCCCUCUGCACAGUCACUUAUAAGUCUGAACGUGUUUGUAGCACUGCUGUGUACUUGCACUUACACCAAUCCUUGUGUUUAUUUUUUACUUGUGCUUUUUCUGUUCUUAUCUAGAGUUAGUUGGUUGAAAAUCAUUUCAACAACUGUAUAUUUGUGAUGUAUUCUGUCUCGCUGUCUCUAAUAGCUGAUGAAUAAAUGUAACUUUACUUCAGGAAACAGAGACAGACUUCCUUUUUUUCAAGAAGCAUCUAAAAAUAUUAUUAAACAUGAACCCGACAGGCUUAUACUAUAAAAAUAAAUUCUAUUUUCAUCAGGGUUGACAAGACUCUGUUUCAGGGCUCAGCAAGACGAAGAGGUUUAUUUUCUUCUUGAUUUUAAGAGCUUUCCAGGUCUGUAUUAGGACAACACAAUGCUUGCUCUAGGUGACAAGGAAAAACUGGGUGGCCGUGUACGCUCACUGAGCUGCUUUCUGUGGGAAAUUGCCAAGCUGAUCACACCUGGUCUCAGUGAGGGGUGGAAGAGGUCAACUUGUCCAUCAUUCCUUCUCAUCAAGGCCAGCAACAGAAAUGUUGUUCCAGUGGUGUUUAUAAAACUAUCGAAUACACUGACUGCAACUCACCUUCUACCAUGACUUCGUGUUUACCAGGUCGCACACUGAAUAUGUCUUUUUAGCAAAUGGGUACUUCCCAGAGAAAUGGCUUCAUUUCUCAUUUGGAGAAAGAAAUCUGCACUAGUUCAGAGAGAUUUGCUCAACUGUCUGUGAUGUGUCCAUAUUUUUUCUUUUAGUCUUAGUGCUUUAGAUAAAAUAGGCUAUUUAAACAUCUAUUCCUUAUGUUUUGAAAUAAAAUAUUUAUAAUAUGUGCACUGUUUUUUU